Molecule: ribosomal RNA, 440 nt
Filed under: uncultured bacterium
Lineage: Bacteria
Description: partial 16S ribosomal RNA
Rfam family: Bacterial small subunit ribosomal RNA
Source: RNAcentral
CCUACGGGUGGCAGCAGUGGGGAAUAUUGCACAAUGGGGGAAACCCUGAUGCAGCGACGCCGCGUGAAGGAUGAAGUAUUUCGGUAUGUAAACUUCUAUCAGCAGAGAAGAAAAUGACGGUAUCUGACUAAUAAGCACCGGCUAACUACGUGCCAGCAGCCGCGGUAAUACGGAGGGGGCAAGCGUUAUCCGGAUUUACUGGGUGUAAAGGGAGCGUAGGCGGUUUAGCAAGUCAGAAGUGAAAGCCCGGGGCUCAACUCCGGGACUGCUUUUGAAACUGUUGAACUAGAGUGUAGGAGAGGUAAGUGGAAUUCUUAGUGUAGCGGUGAAAUGCGUAGAGAUUAGGAGGAACACCAGUGGCGAAGGCGGCUUACUGGACUGUAAAUGACGCUGAGGCGCGAAAGCGUGGGGAGCAAACAGGAUUAGAUACCCGAGUAGUC